Molecule: ribosomal RNA, 245 nt
Filed under: uncultured Aestuariispira sp.
Lineage: Bacteria; Pseudomonadati; Pseudomonadota; Alphaproteobacteria; Rhodospirillales; Aestuariispiraceae
Description: partial 16S ribosomal RNA
Rfam family: Bacterial small subunit ribosomal RNA
Source: RNAcentral
UACGAAGGGUGCAAGCGUUGUUCGGAUUUACUGGGCGUAAAGGGCGCGUAGGCGGACACAUUAGUUAGGGGUGAAAUCCCGGGGCUUAACCUCGGAACUGCCUUUGAUACGGUGUGUCUAGAGAGCUAGAGGGGAUAACGGAAUACCCAGUGUAGAGGUGGAAUUCGUAGAUAUUGGGUAGAACACCAGUGGCGAAAGCGGUUAUCUGGCUAGCAACUGACGCUGAGGCGCGAAAGCGUGGGGAU